This is a long non-coding RNA of Mya arenaria, 282 nucleotides long. RefSeq lists it as uncharacterized. The transcript has 3 exons. Lineage: Eukaryota; Metazoa; Mollusca; Bivalvia; Myida; Myidae. The record is from RefSeq and is a predicted model, not a curated record.
CAACAGUCUUUCUACUUGCCUGCUGGUCGGGACCUACAAGGAAUAUAUCACCAAGAAGGGAAUCAAUUUGAGUGCUUGCAUUUAUUUUAGAAGUUCAGGAACCAAGGAAAAUGAUGAAGACAAUCGUAGUAGUGGUUGCCGUGUUGGCCCUGUGUCUCUUUGUUGCCGAGGCCAGACCACCAAAGGGACCUGGCAGUGGUGAAUCCCGGAAGGGAGGUGAUAGAAAGCAUGGGGACAGGCCAUUAAAACAGGGGGUGAAGUUCUGCGAAGCCUUUGACAACG